CCUACGGGAGGCUGCAGUGGGGAAUAUUGGACAAUGGGGGGAACCCUGAUCUAGCCAUGCCGCGUGUGUGAAGAAGGCCCUCGGGUUGUAAAGCACUUUCAGUGAGGAAGAACGCCUGGUGGUUAAUACCCAUCAGGAAAGACAUCACUCACAGAAGAAGCACCGGCUAACUCCGUGCCAGCAGCCGCGGUAAUACGGAGGGUGCGAGCGUUAAUCGGAAUUACUGGGCGUAAAGCGCGCGUAGGUGGCUUGAUAAGCCGGUUGUGAAAGCCCCGGGCUCAACCUGGGAACGGCAUCCGGAACUGUCAAGCUAGAGUGCAGGAGAGGAAGGUAGAAUUCCCGGUGUAGCGGUGAAAUGCGUAGAGAUCGGGAGGAAUACCAGUGGCGAAGGCGGCCUUCUGGACUGACACUGACACUGAGGUGCGAAAGCGUGGGUAGCAAACAGGAUUAGAUACCCUGGUAGUC
Molecule: ribosomal RNA, 465 nt
Filed under: Vreelandella stevensii
Lineage: Bacteria; Pseudomonadati; Pseudomonadota; Gammaproteobacteria; Oceanospirillales; Halomonadaceae
Description: partial 16S ribosomal RNA
Rfam family: Bacterial small subunit ribosomal RNA
Source: RNAcentral